Long non-coding RNA from Stegodyphus dumicola, 329 nucleotides. Lineage: Eukaryota; Metazoa; Arthropoda; Arachnida; Araneae; Eresidae. The record is from RefSeq and is a predicted model, not a curated record.
GAAGCUCCUUGUGACUGUUAAUGAGUCACAAGGAGCUUCUGGUAAUUUUGGUAAAAGCUUAUAAAUGCCGGAGAAAAUAUCUCAGUUCGAUUAUUUUAAUCCUGUAACUAUUGAAAUAUUAAACUCACUAAUAGACGACAAGUUAACGGAUACUUUUGGCAUGUAAAAGAAAAUUCAAAAUAUUGCAGAAAUAUUAACCUCUGUUCAUGUUUUAUUACAGGGAAAGUAGAGGUCUAGAAUUCACUCCUUCAAACGCUGCGUCAAAGGAUCAAGAAAGAACAAUUGAAGCUCAGUUUCAUAUACAGCGAAAAAUUAUGUUUGCGUGUGUG